UGAGGAAUAUUGGGCAAUGGACGCAAGUCUGACCCAGCCAUGCCGCGUGCAGGAUGACGGCGCUAUGCGUUGUAAACUGCUUUUAUACAGGAAGAAAUCCUCCUACGUG
Molecule: ribosomal RNA, 109 nt
Filed under: uncultured bacterium
Lineage: Bacteria
Description: partial 16S ribosomal RNA
Rfam family: Bacterial small subunit ribosomal RNA
Source: RNAcentral